GGACUACCAGGGUAUCUAAUCCCGUUUGCUCCCCUGGCUUUCGCGCCUCAGCGUCAGAAAAGGUCCAGUCGACCGCUUUCGCCACCGGUGUUCCUUCCGAUAUCUACGCAUUUCACCGCUCCACCGGAAGUUCCGUCGACCCCUACCUCCCUCCAGCCGAUCCGUAUCCGGGGCACGUUUCCGGUUGAGCCGAAAGAUUUCACCCCAGACUUGACCGACCGCCUACGCGCCCUUUAUGCCCAGUGAUUCCGAACAACGUUUGCACGGUUCGUCUUACCGCGGCUGCUGGCAC
RNAcentral lists this ribosomal RNA (292 nucleotides) under uncultured bacterium. Its description in RNAcentral is "partial 16S ribosomal RNA". The record is from RNAcentral. RNAcentral also lists the same sequence under 1 other name.